Molecule: RNA transcript, 5740 nt
Organism: Chelonia mydas (Green sea turtle)
Lineage: Eukaryota; Metazoa; Chordata; Testudines; Cheloniidae
Gene: JUP
Gene name: junction plakoglobin
Exons: 12
Source: RefSeq, a predicted model, not a curated record
AAGGCCAUGGGGCGCCGUGUGUAUCUAAUGCCGAGAAUCCGAAGCGCGCUCCGAGCACCCUCUGCAGUCGCCUUGGCUGGAGCGUCAGGUUUGCCGGGUUCCUGCUAAACGUCCAGGGAGAAGUUGCUUUGCACGGAGAAACUGGAUCCUGAUGGGAUCUGGAGCAUGAGGCGCCUUGUAUCUGUUUUGCACUGUGCAGCGGCUCCAGAAAUCUGUACUGUGCAGUAAACCGAAAGGGACGCCUGCUGCUUAUGAAAGAGCAGCAAUGGAGGUGAUGAACAUGAUGGAGCAGCCGAUCAAGGUGACAGAGUGGCAGCAGACCUACACCUACGACUCGGGCAUACACUCUGGGGUGAACACCCAGGUGCCGUCGGUCAGCAGCAAAUGCAUCGGGGAUGAUGAGGACCUCUACGCCAAGCAGUAUACCAUCAAGACAACCACCUACAGAGAGGCGGGGGGCCAGGGCCUGGGCUCAGCAGCAGCAGCAGACAUGGAGUCUCAGCUGGCCAUGACACGGGCCCAGCGUGUCCGGGCUGCCAUGUACCCAGAGACCAUGGAGGACCGGUCCCUGCUUAUGACCACUCACAUUGAUGGCCAGCAGACCAACGUACAGAGGCUGGCCGAGCCGUCGCAGAUGCUGAAAUCUGCCAUCGUGCACUUGAUCAACUACCAGGACGAUGCAGAGCUGGCCACGCGGGCCAUCCCAGAGCUCACCAAGCUGCUGAAUGACGAGGACCCGGUUGUGGUCAGCAAAGCGGCCAUGAUAGUGAACCAGCUGUCCAAGAAGGAGGCGUCGCGCCGUGCCCUGAUGCAGUCCCCACAGAUUGUGGCCGCGGUGGUUCGUGCCAUGCAGAACACCAGCGACUUGGACACGGCCCGCUGCACCACCAGCAUCCUGCACAACCUCUCGCACCACCGCGAGGGGCUGCUGGCCAUCUUCAAAUCGGGAGGCAUCCCAGCUCUCGUGCGGAUGCUCAGCUCCCCGGUCGAGUCGGUCUUGUUCUACGCAAUCACCACCCUGCACAACCUGCUGCUGUACCAGGAAGGUGCCAAGAUGGCGGUGCGCCUGGCUGAUGGCCUGCAGAAGAUGGUUCCCCUGCUGAACAAGAACAACCCGAAAUUCCUCGCCAUCACCACUGACUGCCUUCAGCUCCUAGCCUAUGGGAACCAGGAGAGCAAGCUGAUUAUUUUGGCCAAUGGGGGACCCCAAGCCCUGGUGCAGAUCAUGCGCAGCUACACCUACGAGAAACUGCUCUGGACCACCAGUCGGGUGCUCAAGGUCCUGUCUGUGUGUCCCAGCAACAAGCCUGCCAUCGUGGAGGCCGGUGGCAUGCAAGCUCUGGGGAAACAUCUGACCAGCUCCAGCCCAAGGCUCGUACAGAACUGCCUGUGGACCUUGAGGAACCUCUCUGAUGUGGCCACCAAGCAGGAGGGUCUGGAUGGCGUCCUCAAGAUCCUGGUCAACCAGCUGAGCUCGGACGAUGUGAACGUGCUGACCUGCGCCACCGGCACCCUCUCCAACCUGACCUGCAACAACAGCAAAAACAAGACCCUGGUCACGCAGUCCAAUGGGGUGGAAGCCCUGAUCCACACCAUCCUGAGGGCGGGCGACAAGGAGGACAUCACUGAGCCGGCUGUCUGCGCCCUGCGGCACCUCACCAGCCGGCACCCGGAGGCAGAGAUGGCCCAGAACUCGGUGCGGCUCAACUACGGCAUCCCAGCGAUCGUCAAGCUCCUCAACCAGCCCAACCAGUGGCCGCUGGUCAAGGCCACUAUCGGUCUGAUCCGCAACCUGGCUCUGUGCCCGGCUAACCACGCCCCACUGCAGGAGGCUGCCGUGAUCCCUCGCCUGGUCCAGCUGCUGGUGAAGGCUCACCAAGAUGCCCAGCGCCAUGUGGCAGCUGGCACGCAGCAGCCGUACACAGAUGGAGUGAAGAUGGAGGAGAUAGUGGAGGGGUGCACAGGAGCCCUGCAUAUUCUGGCCCGGGACCCAAUGAACCGCAUGGAGAUCUUCCGACUCAACACGAUUCCUCUCUUCGUGCAGCUGCUCUACUCCCCAGUGGAGAACAUCCAGCGGGUGGCAGCUGGAGUGCUGUGCGAGCUGGCCCAGGACAAGGAAGCUGCUGACACGAUUGAUGCCGAGGGGGCCUCUGCUCCGCUGAUGGAGCUGCUGCAUUCCAGGAACGAAGGCACAGGUGAGCCGAGCCAGCUGGAGCCACGCGCUUGGAGCUGGGACUCCCAGCGGGGCUCGCACCGAGCUGCUCAGUCGGCGUGUUGGGCAGGCCCUGGUUCUGUUCCGUUCUCAUCAGCUUCUCCUGUUCUGCUGCCUCGGGGCUGCCGCCAUCUGGAGCAUGGGUGCUAUAACAUGCCCCCACCAGGACGCCCUAGCCAGCUGACGGGGUUCGACUGUCUCCUACACUCGGCACCCGCUCUGUGGCCCCCUCUGCCAUGCACAGGGCUGCAACACCAGAACGCUCUUAAAGGAAGUGCCGUCAUUCCCUCGACAUUCCUUCUCCCACUAGGCUCCAGCCCCGGGGUUUGAGGGGCAGGAAGCACUUAGCAGGAGGGUGACGGUGCACAGGUCCUCCUCCAUGAAACGGUGCUGUGGCCCCUGGGGCGUGGAGGCUCUCGGGACGGUGCAGGCCGAGCUGCUGUGGCAGUCCUGUGGCAACAGGAAACGUAAUUAAAUGCAGAGCCUCCCGCUGAAGUGGAAAUCAUUCAGCCAUCUGCUCAGAGAGGAGCGUGGCUCCCUCCGCCAUCUGCUGGCAUUUAGAGGUUUCCUCUUCCAACAUUCCCCCCUCUCUGUCCAGCCACCUACGCCGCAGCCGUGCUGUUCCGCAUCUCUGAGGACAAAAACCCCGACUACAGGAAACGCGUCUCCGUCGAGCUCACCAACUCCCUCUUCAAACAUGACCCUGCUGCCUGGGAAGCAGUAAGUGCCUGUCUGUAUAGGGGUGGGGUCAGGCGCGGCUUUUCCUUCUAGAACUGUUCAGGGCCAGCUCAUGGUCCUUGGUGGCGAUGCAGGAGCUCUCCCCUCCCCCCCGAGCUGAGCGCUCUAUUUGGGCGCUAAUGUCUUCCAUGAGAUUGUUCUCCCACUGCCCUGCCCACGAAUGGGGUUUGUACCCAGGGUGUCUGGGAGGCCGCUCGGCUCCGCGGGUCCCCCCGUGGCUCAGAGGGCCCAGGGGAUUCUAGUGGAACUUGGGCCAGGAAGAACGUGAGACACAUCUUCCACUUAGCCCUGAGCGUGUGACCGUCUGCAAUGGGGAGGGUGGGGGCAGGGACAGGGCACGGGGGUGCCUGUUCUUAGGUGGGAGGGGUUAGUAAAUGGAGGGCUUAAUGCUUGUACUGGGGGACUCAGGGCUGGAACAUCUAAGCUCCAUUUAGAAACUGGUCCAACAUGAUCUGGCUACAACCCUUGAGUCUCCCUGCACUGGGGCUGGUGGGCAAAGGGGGCACCAUGGGAGCUGGGUUUCCUGUUGCUGCAGGCAUCUUGCAUUGGCACACAAUCCUGGCCACAAGUGGCCUCCUGGGGCUGCAAUCAGCCCAUGAGCUGGGCAGAUAGGGGUGCUCAUGCAGCAUCCCCAGGUAGCAGGAGCCCCCCGCUCCUCCCCAGGAGCUGUGAUUCCUCCAGUAAAACAGCUCAGCGCUGGCACCACCCCAGAGGCUCCAGGAGCCUUUGUUCCAGCGUCCCAGCUCCCAACAGGGAAGCUGCUGCCAUGGCUGUCCCAGCACCAUAAGGUCCUGUUACCCUCUUCUCAAAAGCCAUUGCUGCCGGGAAAAGCUAAUGCUCCCCACGUGCGUGUUCCAAGCACCAUGCGAAGGCUGACCCCAAACAGCCCUUGUGUCUCUGCGCCCUCGUGUUACCUGUGUGUGUCUCCUCCCUAGGCGCAGAGCAUGAUCCCGAUCAACGAGCCGUACCCGGAGGGUAAGUGCUGGGCACGUGCUUAGUGCAGAAACUGCCAAGCUCGGCAGAGCCGGCGUGUCCUGCCAAUGCCUGCCGGGGCACCAAACGGUGCAUCUGAGCUGGGGGCCCUGCUGGGCCACUUGGCCGGAAGCGCCCGUCAGGUGGCUGUAGCCUUCUGCCUCCGCUCCCCAGCAUGGCAUGGCUUGGGCUCUGUGUACGUCUGGCUGGCCGGGUUUUAGUGUCCGGGCACAGGAGAACUAAACACUGGGCUACGAACAAACGCCAGGCCCCAGGUGACUGGCAGCGUGGCAUUGCCAUGCUCUGUACAUGGAGACUAAUUUCUCUGCUCCCUCUUGGGAGCCCCAGCCUCACUCCAGUUUGCUGAGCCAUCCUGCUCCCAGUUCAAGUCCUGUCAGCGUCCCCUCCCCUCUGGAACGUCGCGCUGCAGGAGAGCACGCUGCUGCCUGUAGGCGAAGUGUGUGGCCAGGAGCUUUGGUGUCGCCCCGGCCAAGGCCAGCUGGGGCUUUUAUUCCUCCCGUGUCAGGACACGAGCCAGCCUCCAAAGGGGGCAGGAAGAAACUUUCCCUUAUACCGUAUCUGGCCGUGUUGGGGUCUCCUGCAGUAUUUGGUGCUGGUGCCUGUCAGGCCUUGGGCUUGAUGGACCCCAGCUCUGAUGCAGCCUCAGUGGCCGGGAGCGCAGCUGUAAUGCUGGGAUGGGAGCUGGGGUGUCCCCACCUGAGCACAGAGCUGGUGCUAAUUCUCUGCUCAGUGGCUGGCAUGCGGGCUAACGGCUGCCCUCUCCCCCUGGUGGCUAGAUAUGGAUGCUGGGUAUCGUAUGUAUGCGGGUGAUGACCCCUUGGACAUAAACAUGGAUAUGGACGGAGACUACCCCAUGGACACCUACAGUGAUGGCGUCCGAGGUCACUACCCUGAACACAUGCUCGCCUAACCCGCUCCUCAGGCACUGCACAAGGUGUGUUGUCCGGGCAGAAGAGGGUGGCUCCAGAGAUGAGCGCUUGCAAGAGGGACUUGGGAGACAGAAGUGCCUGAGACCAACUUUUCCAUUCCCACCAGAGGCUUUAUUUUUAGAUUUUGUUUUGUUUUUAUUUCUUUUUUGCUGUGGGUCUGUGAAAAAGGCCCUUUCCUCCUGAGAUUGCUUCAAACACCCUCCAGCCAAGCCAAGAUACUGUUUCUGAAGCUUUAAAACACGCGACUCCCGCGUCAUUAUCCAACUCCAUUGGCAUGACAGUAAUCGUCUUUUCUAUAAAUAUAUAUUUCUUUUAUUUUUUAAUAUGGUGCAAAUGGCUUUUGCUGUCUGAUUUUAAGUUCAUGCUUUUUAACUUCCCACUUCCUGUUCUGUGUUUAGUGUUUAACAAAAAUAAUCUAACAUUUUAAAAUGAGCCUUUUGCUUUCUACAAACUUUAAAAAUAGCAAAUCCAGUGAGUUUGCAGAAAACAAAGGGUGCUGUGUUUUCCUGGGAUCUUUGUUCUAGCCCAAGGGAUGUCAACGGCUUUAUUCCUUCCGAUCAGACGUGGGUGAACAGAAUUUCAGUGCAACUGUCCUUACUAUAGAGGAGUGACUCUAACCACUAGGAACUGUGUCCUUGUAUCAAUCUACUAUUGCACAAUUUAACCUGUCUCCUUUCUGGUGAGUGGUGUUUCCUUCCCCUCUUCCCUUCUCUUCAUGCAUUUUUAAAGCGACUCUAGAUCUGAUGGCUUACUGCUUCUGUUGGAAAGGGAUCGAUGUUCUUGGAAUGUGGUUCAGGAACUGAGGAUUUUAUUAUUUCUGUAAGUUUUUUGUAUAGACCAAAGCAAAGAAUAAAACACCCUAACCCCA